RNAcentral lists this ribosomal RNA (427 nucleotides) under uncultured bacterium. RNAcentral's name for it is "bacterial SSU rRNA". It matches the Rfam family "Bacterial small subunit ribosomal RNA", at positions 355 to 774 of the family's 1533-position model. The record is from RNAcentral.
UGGGGAAUAUUGGACAAUGGGCGAAAGCCUGAUCCAGCCAUGCCGCGUGUGUGAAGAAGGUCUUCGGAUUGUAAAGCACUUUAAGUUGGGAGGAAGGGCAGUAAGUUAAUACCUUGCUGUUUUGACGUUACCGACAGAAUAAGCACCGGCUAACUUCGUGCCAGCAGCCGCGGUAAUACGAAGGGUGCAAGCGUUAAUCGGAAUUACUGGGCGUAAAGCGCGCGUAGGUGGUUCAGCAAGUUGGAUGUGAAAGCCCCGGGCUCAACCUGGGAACUGCAUCCAAAACUACUGAGCUAGAGUACGGUAGAGGGUGGUGGAAUUUCCUGUGUAGCGGUGAAAUGCGUAGAUAUAGGAAGGAACACCAGUGGCGAAGGCGACCACCUGGACUGAUACUGACACUGAGGUGCGAAAGCGUGGGGAGCAAACA